CCUACGGGGAGCAGCAGUGAGGAAUAUUGGUCAAUGGACGAGAGUCUGAACCAGCCAAGUAGCGUGAAGGAUGACUGCCCUAUGGGUUGUAAACUUCUUUUAUAUGGGAAUAAAAUGUUCCACGCGUCGGGUUUUGUAUGUACCAUAUGAAUAAGGAUCGGCUAACUCCGUGCCAGCAGCCGCGGUAAUACGGAGGAUCCGAGCGUUCUCCGGAUUUAUUGGGUUUAAAGGGGGCGUAGGGGGAUUGUUAAGUCAGCGGUGAAAGUUUGCGGCUCAACCGUAGAAUUGCCGUUGAAACUGGGAGGCUUGAGUAUGUUUGAGGUGGGCGGAAUGCGUGGUGUAGCGGUGAAAUGCUUAGAUAUCACGAAGAACUCCGAUUGCGAAGGCAGCUCGC
Molecule: ribosomal RNA, 394 nt
Filed under: uncultured bacterium
Lineage: Bacteria
Description: partial 16S ribosomal RNA
Rfam family: Bacterial small subunit ribosomal RNA
Source: RNAcentral